RNA transcript from Cottoperca gobio, 2326 nucleotides. It is a transcript of the gene named cystinosin, lysosomal cystine transporter, with no coding region annotated. The transcript has 12 exons. The record is from RefSeq and is a predicted model, not a curated record. Lineage: Eukaryota; Metazoa; Chordata; Actinopteri; Perciformes; Bovichtidae.
UAGGUGGCGGUAUGCACUUCAACGUUGUUUGAGAAAAACCGAGAGAAGAAGAGAAGGAGGAAGAAGACAAAGAAGAAGAGUUGUGUCUAGUGUCUUGUGACCUGCUGUUGAGGAAGCAGUCAACUCAACUGCUGCUGGCAGCACAGAUGGCAGGUGUGGGCUUGGCACAGAGACGGCUCCCUGCUCAGCUGCUGCUGCUGCUGUGGACUCUCGCACACUUCUCUGAGUCCAGAGUGCAUCUGUUUGCUCCAGAUGUUGUCACACUUGCGGAAAACACUAAAGUCAACAUCAGCAUUACUUCCAGUUCCCCCGUCAACCAGUCGGCUGUGAUUUACUUCAAUGUAACCUUCAGCUCCAAGUCCAACUCCUCCUCUGUGAUCACAGUGCCUGAGCAGGUGUUGCUGCCAGUGGAGGAAACCUCAGUCAGUUUCAAUGUGAUGGCCCAUGAUGUGGGUCAGGUGACCACAUACCUGCUGAGCAACAACACAGAGCUCAACAGUUCGUCCUUCAGUAUCCACUUCAUGGUCGUCCAUAGCAACGCCCUGUCAGUAAUCAGUCAGGUGAUUGGCUGGAUUUACUUUGUGGCCUGGUCGGUGUCCUUCUACCCACAAGCCUGGGAAAACUGCCGGAGGAAAAGUGUUGUAGGUCUCAACUUCGACUUCCUGGCUCUCAACCUAACUGGCUUCAUUGCCUACAGUGUCUUCAACAUAGGACUGUUCUGGGUGCCUUAUAUAAAGGAGGAGUUUCUGAAGAGGAACCUCAACGGAAUUAACCCGGUCAACGCCAACGACGUCUUCUUCAGUCUGCAUGCUGUCCUGCUCUGCUUGGUCUACAUCAGCCAGGCUGCUGUGUACAAGAGGGGGGGUCAAAAGGUCUCCUGUACAGCCUGGUUCUUGUUGGUGAUUGGCUGGACGUUUGCCUUGGUCAGCUUGUUUCUUGCUGUAGCCAAACGGAUCACCUGGUUGGAUUACCUCUACUAUUUCUCCUACAUUAAACUGGCAGUCACUCUGAUCAAAUAUGUGCCACAGGCGUACAUGAACUACAGAAAGCAGAGCACUGACGGUUGGAGUAUUGGCAACGUAUUGCUGGACUUCACUGGUGGAGUCCUGAGUGUUCUACAGAUGCUCCUUCAGUCCUACAACAAUGACCAGUGGAGUCUGAUGUUUGGUGAUCCUACAAAGUUUGGUCUGGGUGUGUUCUCCGUGGUGUUUGACAUCCUCUUCAUGACUCAGCACUACUGCCUCUACAGACGGCCACCACAGUACGAAGCUGUUACUGAGCGAGAAGAGGACUGAUGCUGCCUGUGGAUGGAAUGUCUAACACUCGAUCACAAAGCAGCAGAAGCUCAUCAAUGAUUCAAAGAGCUGAAGAGAACCCAUGAUGCCUUGAGGUUAACCUAAAGACAAUGAGGGCGGAUUGUGAUGGAUCAGCCAAAACACCCCCGGAGGUGGUCAGGGUGUGACCACAUUGGACACAAUUGGAAAUGCAAUUUCAAUCCACAUACAACAACUACGUGAGCGGAAAUACGGACAUCUGCGUUCUUGUGCUCAGUCAUCAGUCGCAGCCCAAGUAGGCUACUGUUCCAAUUCAUAGUCCACAUCUAGCCAAGUACAGUCCGAAUGACAGGAAGUGUUCUUGCUCUGCCUGUUUUAUCCAUGGAUGUAUUCUAAGAACUGAGUCUUUUCUCAAUACAGACAAGAUGACCGGCCAGAGGGUCCUCAUAUCUCCAAAUAUUGGAGCCAUUAUCUAAAUAAGCAUUUAAGCAUAACCACGUAUCCAAAAUCUAAGUCGUUACUUUCUCACCUGGAAAAUAAAAUUGAAACCUAAUAAAGUAACAAAAUAGCAGCCGUAGGACUCUGGAGAGGAAACGAACAACGAAAGCCUGUAGGAAGAAGAACUACUCUUACUACGCUGCAGAAAAAAGAACAUUUUAAUGUCUUCUGGGAAUGAAGGGAACUUUUUGGCCCAGAUGAUCUCCACCUGAUGCUGUCAUCUAAUUUAUCAUUUGAAAUCCUUCGCUCAGGUGCUCUUCACAGGAAUCAACCAUGCCAACCAUUAUCUCGGCUUCAGAAGACCCAGUGCUGCUCUUUAUUCAUCUUUCAAAAGUAUCCGGUACGGUUGAUCAUGCAUUGCUUUUAAAAUACUUCAAAGUAUUGGAUUUGAUGGUAUUGCAUAUAAAUGUUUCCAGAGUUACAUGAUGGCCACAAGCAGUGUAUAUCUGGGAAAUGUUCAAUCUAAAUCUGUUAAAAUUGUAAAAUAUGUUCCACAAGACUCAAUCCUGGGCCAGUUCUGUCCACUCUUUAUAAAGAUGAUGUUGUUUCUUCAA